RNAcentral lists this ribosomal RNA (1400 nucleotides) under human gut metagenome. Its description in RNAcentral is "bacterial LSU rRNA". It matches the Rfam family "Bacterial large subunit ribosomal RNA", at positions 564 to 1973 of the family's 2925-position model. The record is from RNAcentral.
CUACAAGCGGUCGGAGCAUAGCAAUAUGUGACUGCGUGCCUUUUGCAUAAUGAACCUACGAGUUACCUUCCCCGGCAAGGUUAAGUACCUAAGGUACGGAGCCGAAGCGAAAGCGAGUCUGAAGAGGGCGGCCAGUCGGGGGGGGUAGACGCGAAACCGAGUGAUCUACCCUUGGCCAGGUUGAAGGUUGGGUAACACCAACUGGAGGACCGGAUGGGUAAGCGUUGAAAAGCUUUCCAAUGAGCUGAGGGUAGGGGUGAAAGGCUAAUCAAACUCGGAGAUAGCUCGUACUCCCCGAAAUGCAUUUAGGUGCAGCCUCUUUAUAGUAUAUCGUGAGGUAGAGCGACUGAUUGGAUGCGAGGGCUUCACCGCCUAUCAAGUCCAGAUAAACUCCGAAUGCGCGAUAUAUAUUUAAAGGGAGUGAGGGCGCGGGUGCUAAGGUCCGUGUCCGAGAGGAGAAGAAUCCAGACCACCGGCUAAGGCCCCCAAAUGAUCGUUGAGUUGAACUAACGAGGUCGGAUCGCAGAGACAGCUAGGAUGUUGGCUUGGAAGCAGCCAUUCAUUUAAAGAGUGCGUAACAGCUCACUAGUCGAGCGAUCUGGCGUGGAUAAUAAUCGGGCAUAAACGAUCUGCCGAAGCCGUGGAUGUCGUAAGACAUGGUAGGGGAGCAUUCCAUGCGGCGUCGAAGAUGAGGGAUGACCCUUGUUGGAGCGCAUGGAAAAGCAAAUGUAGGUAUGAGUAACGAUAAGGGGGGCGAGAAACCCCCCCGCCGAAAGACCAAGGUUUCCUGAUCAACGCUAAUCGGAUCAGGGUGAGUCGGGACCUAAGGCAAAGCCGAACGGCGACGCCGAUGGAAGAAUGGGUUAAUAUUCCCAUACUGCCUCAUGGAGUGACGUGGAGACGGAGAAGUGACAGUCCUGCCGGCUGACGGAAUAGCCGGUUGAAGGGUGUAGAUAUUGAUUCCCGUAGGCAAAUCCGCGGGGAGAGUCGAACCUGACAGUAUACCGAGUACUUGUACGAGGUAAUAUGGACGUAACCAUGCUCCCAAGAAAAUCCGCUAAACUUAUCCAUGCGGCACCCGUACCGUAAACGGACACACGUGGUCGGGUUGAGAAUACUGAGGCGCUCGAGUGAUUCACGGUUAAGGAACUAGGCAAAUUGACCCUGUAACUUCGGGAUAAAGGGUCCUCGUCGUAAGGCGAGGCGCAGAGAAUAGGUCCAGGCAACUGUUUAACAAAAACACAUGGCUAUGCUAAAUGGAAACAUGACGUAUAUAGCCUGACACCUGCCCGGUGCUGGAAGGUUAAGAGGAGAUGUCAUCGCAAGAGAAGCGUUGAAUUGAAGCCCCAGUAAACGGCGGCCGUAACUAUAACGGUCCUAAGGUAGCGAAAUUCCUUGUC